This 87-nucleotide transfer RNA is filed under the name Candidatus Omnitrophota bacterium. RNAcentral's name for it is "Candidatus Omnitrophica bacterium tRNA-Leu". It matches the Rfam family "tRNA". From Rfam's summary of the family: Transfer RNA (tRNA) molecules are approximately 80 nucleotides in length. Their secondary structure includes four short double-helical elements and three loops (D, anti-codon, and T loops). Further hydrogen bonds mediate the characteristic L-shaped molecular structure. tRNAs have two regions of fundamental functional importance: the anti-codon, which is responsible for specific mRNA codon recognition, and the 3' end, to which the tRNAs corresponding amino acid is attached (by aminoacyl-tRNA synthetases). tRNAs cope with the degeneracy of the genetic code in two manners: having more than one tRNA (with a specific anti-codon) for a particular amino acid; and 'wobble' base-pairing, i.e. permitting non-standard base-pairing at the 3rd anti-codon position. The record is from RNAcentral. Lineage: Bacteria; Pseudomonadati; Candidatus Omnitrophota.
GCCGAGGUGGCGGAACUGGCAGACGCGCAGGUCUCAAAAACCUGUGGGCGCAAGCUCAUGUCGGUUCGACUCCGACCAGCGGCACCA